GCGCCCGUAGCUUAAUUGGAUAGAGCAUCAGUCUACGGAACUGAGGGUUGGCCGUUCGAUCCGGCCCGGGCGCG
Molecule: transfer RNA, 74 nt
Filed under: Omnitrophica WOR_2 bacterium GWF2_43_52
Lineage: Bacteria; Pseudomonadati; Candidatus Omnitrophota
Also listed under: 4 other names
Description: tRNA-Arg
Rfam family: tRNA
About the family: Transfer RNA (tRNA) molecules are approximately 80 nucleotides in length. Their secondary structure includes four short double-helical elements and three loops (D, anti-codon, and T loops). Further hydrogen bonds mediate the characteristic L-shaped molecular structure. tRNAs have two regions of fundamental functional importance: the anti-codon, which is responsible for specific mRNA codon recognition, and the 3' end, to which the tRNAs corresponding amino acid is attached (by aminoacyl-tRNA synthetases). tRNAs cope with the degeneracy of the genetic code in two manners: having more than one tRNA (with a specific anti-codon) for a particular amino acid; and 'wobble' base-pairing, i.e. permitting non-standard base-pairing at the 3rd anti-codon position.
Source: RNAcentral